Molecule: transfer RNA, 74 nt
Filed under: Mesocricetus auratus (golden hamster)
Lineage: Eukaryota; Metazoa; Chordata; Mammalia; Rodentia; Cricetidae
Rfam family: tRNA
About the family: Transfer RNA (tRNA) molecules are approximately 80 nucleotides in length. Their secondary structure includes four short double-helical elements and three loops (D, anti-codon, and T loops).
Source: Rfam by way of RNAcentral
GAAAAUGUAGCUCAAUCUGAAAGAGCACUUGCCUAGCAUGCCUGAAGCCCUGGGUUUGAUUCCCAGCAUGACCU